Molecule: ribosomal RNA, 309 nt
Filed under: Amblyomma sp. MT298
Lineage: Eukaryota; Metazoa; Arthropoda; Arachnida; Ixodida; Ixodidae
Also listed under: 3 other names
Description: partial large subunit ribosomal RNA
Source: RNAcentral
GAGUGCUAAGAGAAUGGACCCACAGAAAACUACUUUUUUAAAAUUAAAAUUUAAAGUUAUUUUUGUUUGUGAAGAAACAACAAUAAAAAUUAAGGACAAGAAGACCCUAAGAAUUUUUUAAAAGAUAAUUUAAAUUUAUAAUUAUUUAUUUUUAAUUGGGGCGAUUAAUAAAUAUAUUAAACUUUAUUUAAAAAAAAAUACGAACCAUUAUUAAUGGUCAUAUGGAAAAAUACUCUAGGGAUAACAGCGUAAUAAUUUUUGAUAGUUCUUAUAGACAAAAUAGUUUGCGACCUCGAUGUUGGAUUAGGA